Molecule: ribosomal RNA, 206 nt
Filed under: uncultured bacterium
Lineage: Bacteria
Description: partial 16S ribosomal RNA
Rfam family: Bacterial small subunit ribosomal RNA
Source: RNAcentral
UACGUAGGGUGCGAGCGUUGUCCGGAAUUAUUGGGCGUAAAGAGCUUGUAGGCGGUUUGUCGCGUCUGCUGUGAAAAAUCCGGGGGCUCAACCCCCGGACUUGCAGUGGGGUACGGGGCAGACUAGAGUGUGGUAGGGGAGACUGGAAUUCCUGGUGUAGCGGUGAAAUGCGCAGAUAUCAGGAGGAACACCGAUGGCGAAAGGCA